GUCGCAAGGCUGAAACUCAAAGGAAUUGACGGGGGCCCGCACAAGCGGUGGAACAUGUGGUUUAAUUCGAUGCAACGCGAAGAACCUUACCUGGGUUUGAAAUCAUAAUGACCGUCUGUGAAAGCAGACUUUCCUUUCGAGGACAUUAUGACAGGUGGUGCAUGGCUGUCGUCAGCUCGUGUCGCGAGAUGUUGGGUUAAGUCCCGCAACGAGCGCAACCCCUUUUCUUAGUUGCCAACAGGUAAUGCUGGGGACUCUAAGGAUACUGCCCCGGUUAACGGGGAGGAAGGUGGGGAUGACGUCAAGUCAGUAUGUCCCUUAUAUCCAGGGCUACACACGUGUUACAAUGGCCAGUACAAUGAGUCGCGAUCCCGCGAGGGUUAGCCAAUCUCAAAAAACUGGUCUCAGUUCAGAUUGCAGUCUGCAACUCGACUGCAUGAAGUCGGAAUCGCUAGUAAUCGUAGAUCAGCAUGCUACGGUGAAUACGUUCCCGGGCCUUGUACACACCGCCCGUCCCGCCAUGGAAG
RNAcentral lists this ribosomal RNA (527 nucleotides) under uncultured bacterium. Its description in RNAcentral is "bacterial SSU rRNA". It matches the Rfam family "Bacterial small subunit ribosomal RNA", at positions 885 to 1410 of the family's 1533-position model. The record is from RNAcentral.